RNAcentral lists this unclassified non-coding RNA (334 nucleotides) under soil metagenome. RNAcentral's name for it is "partial contains 5.8S ribosomal RNA, internal transcribed spacer 2, and large subunit ribosomal RNA". The stretch from base 1 to 120 matches the Rfam family "5.8S ribosomal RNA", at positions 35 to 154 of the family's 154-position model. The record is from RNAcentral.
GAUGAAGAACGCAGCGAAAUGCGAUAAGUAAUGUGAAUUGCAGAAUUCAGUGAAUCAUCGAAUCUUUGAACGCACAUUGCGCCCGCCAGUAUUCUGGCGAGCAUGCCUGUUCGAGCGUCAUUUCAACCAUCAAGCCCCCGGCUUGUGUUGGAGCCCUGCGGCUGCCGCAGCCUCCCAAAACCAGUGGCGGGCUCGCUAUCACACCGAGUGCAGUAGUUUACUCUUCGCUCAGGGCGUGUGGCGGGUGCUAGCCGUGAAACCCCCAACUUCUCAAGGUUGACCUCGGAUCAGGUAGGAAUACCCGCUGAACUUAAGCAUAUCAAUAAGCGGAGGA